AGUCAGUCAAGACUGGUGGGCUGGGUUAGGGUUAGGGUUUUGAAAUCUAAAAACAGCGCUAACCGGUUUUCCUCGUCUGUCUCAUUCCACGGUGUGUUAUUUGUUUGUGUUUUCUGUAAAUGUGAUACGAGAGAGUGUGAGGGAAGUAUGUUUUGGGAAUAGUACUGUGUGAAUGAGAGUUUUGUGAGUGUAUAAAUAAGUGUUAAUCUUACAUUUGGAUAAAAAGAUAUGUAGCGUUAUCUUGGGGUUCCAUUCAACACUGCCCAUCAUAUAAUAUCACGGUGUGGUAUUAUUAAAUGCUAGAUGUUAUUCUAUAAUUUCUGGAAGACUAGAGAACCGUUGAGAAUUAUUCCCAUAGGGCAGUGUCCGAGAAACGAACGUUUUUGGGUUCCGCUGGGUGUGUAUGGAUGAGGAGUCGUUGGAAAUGGAGUGAUUCAUUAAUAGUUUCCAGUUGUUUUGAAAAUACCAUAAAUCCAGAGAAUGCAAGACUUUGAUGACAAAAUUUACCCACGAAGGACCACCGCACCACCUUCCUUUUCAAAUGAGCACAGCACAACAAGCGGAGAUGUGUAUGUGCACCAUGCAGACUGGCACCCAGAUGACCAAACCGAAAGGAAAUAUGCGGCUGGUCAGGUUCUUCUACCUGGAUGAACACAAGUCCUCAAUCCGCUGGAUGCCCUCCAGGAAGCAUGAUAAGGCUUAAAGACAUGAGCCCUAGGACCAUGCCUCAGGACUACCUGGUAUGAUGACUCCUUGCUGUCCCCAGUCCACCUGGCCGUGCUGCUGCUCCAGUUUCAACUGUUCUGCCUGCGGCUAUGGAACCCUGACCUGUUCACCGGACGUGCUUGUUGCACCCUCGACAACUACUAUGAUUAUUAUUAUUUGACCAUGCUGGUCAUUUAUGAACAUUUUAACAUCUUGACCAUGUUCUGUUAUAAUAUCCACCCUGCACAGCCAGAAGAGGACUGGCCACCCCUCAUAGCCUGGUUCCUCUCUAGGUUUCUUCCUAGGUUUUUGGCCUUUCUAGGGAGUUUUUCCUAGGGAGUUUUUCCUAGCCACCGUGCUUCUUUCACAUGCUUUGCUUGCUGUUUGGGGUUUUAGGCUGGGUUUCUGUACAGCACUUUGAGAUAUCAGCUGAUGUACGAAGGGCUAUAUAAAUACAUUUGAUUUGAUUUAUUGCCAAUGUUUGUCUAUGGAGAUUGCAUGACUGUGUGCUCGAUGUUAUACACCUGUCAAACUAAUUUGAAGGGAUGUCCACAUACCUUUGUGUAUAUAUAGUGUAUUAAAUUAGUGCUGUCAGUAAACAUUUGGACAUUUCAGUGCAACAUUUUAAAUCUAAUUUUCGGAAUGCGUUCAAAAUGCACUGAAAACAUCCAACAAAAAUUAAAGCUCAGUUUGAGCAAAUUAUGCUUUUCACUUGAAUUUUUUUUUUUUUUUUUUUGUAAGGGUAUAUAAGAUCUUAAUUUGAUCAACCUGUUGCAAAGGCACUUUCCUGCAAUGCAGGAAAUGACAAAAUGGUAGUGUAUUUAAAGUUUUAAAAUGCUUCUGAAGUUUGUAAUUUCCACCUUGAACAUCUUUUGCUCCAACAUUGACUAAUUGAUUUGGGUCUACAGUUGACUUUAAAACUGAACUGGCUUCCAUUAGGACCUCCUGUCCCAUGGGCCGUGACAUGUUUGUAUAGUAUGUAUGUAUUGUAAUGUUGAGCAUGACAGUAAGAGCAGGUAACCUUCCUCAGCGAUCUGGAGUAGAGAGAGACAUGCUGCCCGCUCGUCUAUCACUCAGUAUAAUCUCCAAGGAUUGUCUGGAGUCCAUGCCAUCAUCUAUGCAUGUUACCUGCAUUUUCCCUCUGUUAUGAUGGGAACCCACAAAUUGUUGGUGGCAAUUGAAAGUGUUAUAAUAUUCAGCGCCUUGACUUUUUCCACAUGUUGUUGUGUUACAGCCUGAAUUGAAAGCAGAUUAAAUUUAGAUGUUUUGGUCACUGGCCUGCACACAAUACAACAUAAUGUCAAAGUUGAAUUAUGUUUUUAGAAACGUUUACAAAUUAAUAAAAAAUGGAAAG
This 2059-nucleotide long non-coding RNA is filed under the name Salmo salar (Atlantic salmon). Its description in RNAcentral is "lncRNA (ENSSSAG00000108031.1)". Lineage: Eukaryota; Metazoa; Chordata; Actinopteri; Salmoniformes; Salmonidae. The record is from RNAcentral.